Molecule: long non-coding RNA, 834 nt
Organism: Eubalaena glacialis (North Atlantic right whale)
Lineage: Eukaryota; Metazoa; Chordata; Mammalia; Artiodactyla; Balaenidae
Exons: 3
Source: RefSeq, a predicted model, not a curated record
GUGACUCGCUUUACAGGGGCGGGGGUAGAGCUCGUGCCCUCCAAUCCCCCAGCUAGAAACCAGCGCCUGCAGCCAGGCUCCUCUGCGGUCUGGGACCCGGCUCUGCCCAUCAGGUGGUCCGUAUCUGAAGAGGGAAGUGAGAAGCAGGAAGAAAAUAAGCUCCAUGAAGGCAGGGACUUUGGCUCCUGUUAUAUCCUCAGGGAAUAUUGCUUCGCUCAUAACUCAACUAGAUGAGAAAAAUCUUUCAAGCCCCUCAGACCUUUAUGCAAAGUUAUUCUGAUGUACACAGAGACAGGUACUUGUAGUACGUUGAUGUUUACUCCAUUCCUAUUCUGAACAGUUGGCUCGGGUCAUCACGCCAGUUAUGUACGCCAGACUUAGGCAGUGUUUGUCUGAUGGAAAGGACUCUGGUAACUCAACUUCACGUCAGAGCGCUCCUCACACUAUGACACAGCAAAAGAGCCCACAGCAGCAGCUGUUGGAACAACUGCUCUCUUUUCCUCCCAAGUCUGACAUUUCCAAGGUAGGAUUUGAUUACAACUGGCAAUACAGAAUUAUGGGCAAAGAAAUGAGGUGCAGAGACCAGAAAAUAUUAAGAGUGAAAAUAACAAGGCAGUGAGGCAGUCUGUGUUACAUUCCCUUAUCAGGCUGUGAGAAGUAGGCAAAGCAUCCUGCUGAGAAAUGCCUCCUUGCUUCCAGGAUAGAAAAGACUCUCUCAGACCCGGUCCAGUCAGGAUACCUCACAGCACAGGUGCCAACCUGUGUGGUUCCUCUGAAGCGGCCAACAUCUCGGGCAGAUUCGAAUUCAACUACAAGAACUUUUCUGAGAAAAUA